RNAcentral lists this ribosomal RNA (460 nucleotides) under uncultured bacterium. RNAcentral describes it as "partial 16S ribosomal RNA". It matches the Rfam family "Bacterial small subunit ribosomal RNA", at positions 338 to 795 of the family's 1533-position model. The record is from RNAcentral.
CCUACGGGAGGCAGCAGUGAGGAAUAUUGGUCAAUGGCCGUAAGGCUGAACCAGCCAAGUCGCGUGAAGGAAGAAGGAUCUAUGGUUUGUAAACUUCUUUUAUAGGGGAAUAAAGGUAUCCACGUGUGGAUAUUUGCAUGUACCCUAUGAAUAAGCAUCGGCUAACUCCGUGCCAGCAGCCGCGGUAAUACGGAGGAUGCGAGCGUUAUCCGGAUUUAUUGGGUUUAAAGGGUGCGUAGGUUGUUUUUUAAGUCAGCGGUGAAAGUUUGUGGCUCAACCAUAAAAUUGCCGUUGAAACUGGAAGACGUGAGUGUGUUUGAGGUAGGCGGAAUGCGUGGUGUAGCGGUGAAAUGCAUAGAUAUCACGCAGAACUCCGAUUGCGAAGGCAGCUUACUAGGCCAUAACUGACACUGAAGCACGAAAGCGUGGGGAUCAAACAGGAUUAGAUACCCGGGUAGUC